UACGUAGGGGGCUAGCGUUGUCCGGAAUCAUUGGGCGUAAAGCGCGUGUAGGCGGUCCGGUAAGUCCGCUGUGAAAGUCGGGGGCUCAACCCUCGAAUGCCGGUGGAUACUGUCGGGCUAGAGUGCGGAAGAGGCGAGUGGAAUUCCUGGUGUAGCGGUGAAAUGCGCAGAUAUCAGGAGGAACACCAAUUGCGAAGGCAGCUCGCUGGGACGUUACUGACGCUGAGGAGCGAAAGCGUGGGGGAGCGAACAGG
Molecule: ribosomal RNA, 254 nt
Filed under: uncultured bacterium
Lineage: Bacteria
Description: partial 16S ribosomal RNA
Rfam family: Bacterial small subunit ribosomal RNA
Source: RNAcentral